UGAAUACGAGACGCUACGGCGUCGAAGCAGUCUAUGUCAUACUUCCAAGAAAAGCUUGCACUGUCAUAAACAAAUAAUGCCUGUACCAUAACCGACACAGGUGGGUAGGUAGAGUAUACUAAGGGGCGCGAGAUAACUCUCUCUAAGGAACUCGGCAAAAUGACUCCGUAACUUCGGGAGAAGGAGUGCCUUAUUUAUAAGGUUGCAAUAACAAGAUCCAAGCAACUGUUUAUCAAAAACACAGGUCUCCGCUAAGUCGUAAGACGAUGUAUGGGGGCUGACGCCUGCCCAGUGCCAGAAGGUUAAAGAAGUUGGUUAGCAUUAGCGAAGCUGAUAACUGAAGCCCUGGUGAACGGCGGCCGUAACUAUAACGGUCCUAAGCUAGCGAAAUUCCUUGUCGGGUAAGUUCCGACCCGCACGAAAGGCGUAAUGAUUUGGAUACUGUCUCAGAGAGGGGCUCGGUGAAAUAGACUUGUCUGUGAAGAUGCGGACUACCUGCACCAGGACAGAAAGACCCUAUGAAGCUUUACUGUAACUUGAAAUUGAAAUUGGACUUUAUUUGCGCAGUAUAGGUGGGAGGCAUUGAUAAUAUUCUUGCGGGAAUGUUGGAGCCAUCAGUGAGAUACCACUCUUGUAAUGUUAGAUUUCUAACUUUGGAUCAUUAUCUGGUCAAAGGACAGUUUCAGGCGGGCAGUUUGACUGGGGCGGUCGCCUCCUAAAUGGUAACGGAGGCGCACAAAGGUUUCCUCUGAACGGGUAGAAAUCGUAUCUAGAGUGUAAAGGCAUAAGGAAGCUUGACUGUGAGACCUACAAGUCGAGCAGGGACGAAAGUCGGUCUUAGUGAUCUGACGGUGCUGAGUGGAAAGGCCGUCACUCAACGGAUAAAAGUUACUCUAGGAUAACAGGCUGAUCUCCCCCAAGAGUUCACAUCGACGGGGAGGUUUGGCACCUCGAUGUCGGCUCAUCGCAUCCUGGGGCGGUAGUACGUCCCAAGGGUUGGGCUGUUCGCCCAUGAAAGCGGUACGCGAGCUGGGUUCAGAACGUCGUGAGACAGUUCGGUCCAUAUCCGGUGUAGGCGUUAGAAUAUUGAGAGGAGCCUUCUUUAGUACGAGAGGACCGAGAAGGACAUACCUCUGGUGUACCAGUUAUCGUGCCAACGGUAAACGCUGGGUAGCUAUGUAUGGAGAGGAUAACCGCUGAAAGCAUCUAAGUGGGAAGCCCUCCUCAAGAUAAG
RNAcentral lists this ribosomal RNA (1234 nucleotides) under metagenome. RNAcentral's name for it is "bacterial LSU rRNA". It matches the Rfam family "Bacterial large subunit ribosomal RNA", at positions 1564 to 2808 of the family's 2925-position model. The record is from RNAcentral.